GAUGAACGCUGGCGGCGUGCCUAAUACAUGCAAGUCGAGCGAUCGGACGAGAAGCUUGCUGCUGUGAGGUUAGGGGCGGACAAGUGAGUAACACGAGGAUAACCUCCUUCUACGACUGGGAUAACAUCGGGAAGCAGGUGCUACUACCGCGGAAUAUUUUGAACCUCAUGGUUCAAGAGUGUAAGACGGUCUUGCUGUCACUGGUGGAUGGUCCCGCGCUGUAUUAGCUAGUUGGUAGGGUAACGGCUUACCAAGGCAACGAUGCCUAGCCGCCCUGAUAGGGUGAUCGGCCGCACUGGAACGGAUGCGCGGUCCACACUCCUACGGGAGGCAGCAGUAGUGAAGCUUCCUCAAUGGGCGGAAGCCUGAUGGUGCAGCGCCGCGUGAGUGAUGAAGGUCUUCUUCGCGUAAUGCUCUGUUAUUGGCGAAGAAGAUGUCUGGCCGUAUCUGUGCACGGGUUGACGGUACCUAAACAAGAAGCCCCGGCUAACUACGUG
Molecule: ribosomal RNA, 497 nt
Filed under: uncultured bacterium
Lineage: Bacteria
Description: partial 16S ribosomal RNA
Rfam family: Bacterial small subunit ribosomal RNA
Source: RNAcentral